UAACACAUGCAAGUCGAGGGGUAGCAGGGUAGCAAUACCGUUGACGACCGGCGCACGGGUGAGUAACACGUAUCCAACCUUCCCAUAACUCGGGGAUAGCCUUUCGAAAGAAAGAUUAAUACCCGAUAGUACUUAAGAAAGGCAUCUUUUUUAAGUUAAAGAUUUAUUGGUUAUGGAUGGGGAUGCGUUCCAUUAGAUAGUUGGUGAGGUAACGGCUCACCAAGUCUUCGAUGGAUAGGGGUUCUGAGAGGAAGGUCCCCCACAUUGGUACUGAGACACGGACCAAACUCCUACGGGAGGCAGCAGUGAGGAAUAUUGGUCAAUGGGCGAGAGCCUGA
This 338-nucleotide ribosomal RNA is filed under the name uncultured Bacteroidales bacterium. RNAcentral describes it as "bacterial SSU rRNA". It matches the Rfam family "Bacterial small subunit ribosomal RNA", at positions 49 to 386 of the family's 1533-position model. Lineage: Bacteria; Pseudomonadati; Bacteroidota; Bacteroidia; Bacteroidales. The record is from RNAcentral.